AGAGUUUGAUCCUGGCUCAGGACGAACGCUGGCGGCGUGCCUAAUACAUGCAAGUCGAGCGGACAGAAGGGAGCUUGCUCCCGGAUGUUAGCGGCGGACGGGUGAGUAACACGUGGGUAACCUGCCUGUAAGACUGGGAUAACUCCGGGAAACCGGAGCUAAUACCGGAUAGUUCCUUGAACCGCAUGGUUCAAGGAUGAAAGACGGUUUCGGCUGUCACUUACAGAUGGACCCGCGGCGCAUUAGCUAGUUGGUGAGGUAACGGCUCACCAAGGCGACGAUGCGUAGCCGACCUGAGAGGGUGAUCGGCCACACUGGGACUGAGACACGGCCCAGACUCCUACGGGAGGCAGCAGUAGGGAAUCUUCCGCAAUGGACGAAAGUCUGACGGAGCAACGCCGCGUGAGUGAUGAAGGUUUUCGGAUCGUAAAGCUCUGUUGUUAGGGAAGAACAAGUGCAAGAGUAACUGCUUGCACCUUGACGGUACCUAACCAGAAAGCCACGGCUAACUACGUGCCAGCAGCCGCGGUAAUACGUAGGUGGCAAGCGUUGUCCGGAAUUAUUGGGCGUAAAGGGCUCGCAGGCGGUUUCUUAAGUCUGAUGUGAAAGCCCCCGGCUCAACCGGGGAGGGUCAUUGGAAACUGGGAAACUUGAGUGCAGAAGAGGAGAGUGGAAUUCCACGUGUAGCGGUGAAAUGCGUAGAGAUGUGGAGGAACACCAGUG
Molecule: ribosomal RNA, 723 nt
Filed under: Bacillus sp. H9.2
Lineage: Bacteria; Bacillati; Bacillota; Bacilli; Caryophanales; Bacillaceae
Description: bacterial SSU rRNA
Rfam family: Bacterial small subunit ribosomal RNA
Source: RNAcentral